UCAGAGAGUUUGAUCCUGGCUCAGAUUGACGCUGGCGGCAGGCCUAACACAUGCAAGUGCGAGCUGGAAACGAGUUAUCUGGAACCUUCGGGGAACGAUAACGGCGUCGAGCGGCGGACGGGUGAGUAAUGCCUAGGAAAUUGCCUUGAUGUGGGGGAUAACCAUUGGAAACGAUGGCUAAUACCGCAUAAUGCCUACGGGCCAAAGAGGGGGACCUUCGGGCCUCUCGCGUCAAGAUAUGCCUAGGUGGGAUUAGCUAGUUGGUGAGGUAACGGCUCACCAAGGCGACGAUCCCUAGCUGGUCUGAGAGGAUGAUCAGCCACACUGGAACUGAGACACGGUCCAGACUCCUACGGGAGGCAGCAGUGGGGAAUAUUGCACAAUGGGCGAAAGCCUGAUGCAGCCAUGCCGCGUGUAUGAAGAAGGCCUUCGGGUUGUAAAGUACUUUCAGUUGUGAGGAAGGGGGUGUCGUUAAUAGCGGCACCUCUUGACGUUAGCAACAGAAGAAGCACCGGCUAACUCCGUG
RNAcentral lists this ribosomal RNA (526 nucleotides) under uncultured Vibrio sp. Its description in RNAcentral is "bacterial SSU rRNA". It matches the Rfam family "Bacterial small subunit ribosomal RNA", at positions 1 to 507 of the family's 1533-position model. Lineage: Bacteria; Pseudomonadati; Pseudomonadota; Gammaproteobacteria; Vibrionales; Vibrionaceae. The record is from RNAcentral.